GCUUACGGCCAUACCACCCUGAACGCGCCCGAUCUCGUCCGAUCUCGGAAGCUAAGCAGGGUCGGGCCUGGUUAGUACUUGGAUGGGAGACCGCCUGGGAAUACCAGGUGCCGUAAGCC
RNAcentral lists this ribosomal RNA (119 nucleotides) under Dicentrarchus labrax (European seabass). The record is from RNAcentral. Lineage: Eukaryota; Metazoa; Chordata; Actinopteri; Moronidae.